UGUGUUUGACGUUUUUAUUAGCUUAUGAUAGAUACCCAGUAAAGACAUUUAAAUAUGCUUGAUUGAAAAUUAAAAUAUAAUAAUCAGAUAUUACCUUAUCUGAAAGGUAAUAGUUGGUUGUGAGUAAUACGUAGGCUAUUUAACAAAAGUGUGUUGAGUAGAAAAGUGCUACAUAGUUCCCGUACGACCCUGGUGCUACACAAAGUGCUAAAAAGUAGCGCUUUAGCUGCUAGUUUGUAGAACAAUGUUACGCCCACAGUUGUAAGAUGUGUCUGCAUUUGCUGCUGUAGGGUGCGUAGAAAGUUGAGGUUUGUUACAAUGUAAUAUACAUAUUCACGGUACCGAUUUCCUCUCCGAUCCGCAGACGCACUUGACCAGCCACCAGCGGACGAGGUGGUAAUCAUUGGCAAUAACUGGCCCCACACCGCUGUUUUGCUCCUCAUAGAGACCUGGAGGUCUCUUAAGGAGAAGUUUGAGUGUCCCACCAUAAAAAAAAAACAAGCUUGGGAGAUGGUUGCGGAGUGCCUCAGAAAGGAAGCAGUUAAUGUGAAAUGGCAGAUGUGUGACAACAAGUGGAGGAACCUUAGGCACAGAUACAAAAUCAUCCGUGAUGGGCAUGGGAAGACAGGACAGGGCCGGCGAAAGUGGGAGUAUUUCGCCGUGCUGGAAGAACUUUUUGCUGGCGACCCAGCUGUGCAGCCCACAGUAGUCAUCUCCUCAACCCCAACAU
Long non-coding RNA from Gadus macrocephalus (Pacific cod), 730 nucleotides. RefSeq lists it as uncharacterized. NCBI's taxonomy places the organism in Eukaryota, Metazoa, Chordata, Actinopteri, Gadiformes, Gadidae. The transcript is spliced from 3 exons. The record is from RefSeq and is a predicted model, not a curated record.